Molecule: small RNA, 537 nt
Filed under: Pongo abelii (Sumatran orangutan)
Lineage: Eukaryota; Metazoa; Chordata; Mammalia; Primates; Hominidae
Description: retained intron
Source: RNAcentral
GAGGCGGACGCGAGGACUGGAGGAUCGAGGACAGGAAGAUUGGUGGACUGGAGCAGCGGCCGGUGGGGAGGGCGCUCGGCGGCGGCCUGCGGCCAUGGCCACCGUGAUGGCAGCGACGGCGGCGGAGCGGGCGGUGCUGGUGAGGCGCGCGGGCCAGCGGGCGGGCCGGCGGAGCGGCGGGUCCGGGCGUGACCGCCUUGUCUGUCCCGCAGGAGGAGGAGUUCCGCUGGCUGCUGCACGACGAGGUGCACGCUGUGCUGAAGCAGCUGCAGGACAUCCUCAAGGAGGCCUCUCUGCGCUUCACUCUGCCGGGCUCCGGCACUGAGGGGCCCGCCAAGCAAGAGAACUUCAUUCUAGGCAGCUGUGGGUAAGCCUGGGCUGGGCGGAAACCGGGGAAAUGGGUACCUUGGGGGGUAGGAGGCAUGGUCAUAGCCCUGUCCUGCAGACCAGCUGGGUGUGCGAUGGGACAGGAGGGGCAGCCCGCCGGGAGGGAGGGCUGGGUGGUGGCGGGGUGACCACAGACACCGCUCUGACGCC